GUUAUGAAUGGUUAAGGUAAGGGUUAAGGUUAGGGAUAGGGUUAUGAAUGGUUAAGGUAAGGGUUAAGGUUAGGGAUAGGGUUAUGAAUGGUUAAGGUAAGGGUUAAGGUUAGGGAUAGGGUUAUGAAUGGUUAAGGUAAGGGUUAAGGUUUGAGAUAGGGUUAUGAAUGGUUAAGGUAAGGGUUAAGGUGUAAGAUAGGGUUAUGAAUGGUUAAGGUAAGGGUUAAGGUUUGAGAUAGGGUUAUGAAUGGUUAAGGUAAGGGUUAAGGUUUGAGAUAGGGUUAUGAAUGGUUAAGGUUAGGGAUAGGGUUAUUAAUGGUUAAGGUAAGGGUUAAGGUUUGAGAUAGGGUUAUUAAUGGUUAAGGUAAGGGUUAAGGUUUGAGAUAGGGUUAUGAAUGGUUAAGGUAAGGGUUAAGGUUUGAGAUAGGGAUUGAACAUGCAACACUUGAAGCUGGGGCUCACUGACACUGGGUUGUCCUACAUGUCUGACACACACAAUACUCACAUCACUCAUCAUGUCACUAAAUACAUCACAAAUCACAUCACUAAUCACUCAUCACGAAUCACAUCACUAAUCAC
This is a long non-coding RNA of Oncorhynchus keta (chum salmon), 579 nucleotides long. RefSeq lists it as uncharacterized. NCBI's taxonomy places the organism in Eukaryota, Metazoa, Chordata, Actinopteri, Salmoniformes, Salmonidae. The transcript is spliced from 3 exons. The record is from RefSeq and is a predicted model, not a curated record.